UACGGAGGGGGCUAGCGUUGUUCGGAAUUACUGGGCGUAAAGCGCACGUAGGCGGCUUUGCAAGUUAGAGGUGAAAGCCCGGGGCUCAACUCCGGAAUUGCCUUUAAAACUGCAUCGCUAGAAUUGUGGAGAGGUAAGUGGAAUUCCGAGUGUAGAGGUGAAAUUCGUAGAUAUUCGGAAGAACACCAGUGGCGAAGGCGACUUACUGGACACAUAUUGACGCUGAGGUGCGAAAGCGUGGGGAGCAAACAGG
RNAcentral lists this ribosomal RNA (253 nucleotides) under uncultured bacterium. Its description in RNAcentral is "partial 16S ribosomal RNA". It matches the Rfam family "Bacterial small subunit ribosomal RNA", at positions 524 to 776 of the family's 1533-position model. The record is from RNAcentral.